GCAAGUCGAACGAACCUUCGGGUUAGUGGCGGACGGGUGAGUAACGCGUGGGAAUCUGCCCUCAGGAGGGGGAUAACGGUUGGAAACGACCGCUCAUACCCCAUAUGCCGAUAGGUGAAAUGAAUUUCGCCUGAGGAUGAGCCCGCGUCUGAUUAGCUAGUUGGUAAGGUAAAGGCUUACCAAGGCUUCGAUCAGUAGCUGGUCUGAGAGGAUGAUCAGCCACACUGGGACUGAGACACGGCCCAGACUCCUACGGGAGGCAGCAGUGGGGAAUUUUCCGCAAUGGGCGAAAGCCUGACGGAGCAACGCCGCGUGAGGGACGAAGGCCUCUGGGCUGUAAACCUCUUUUCUCAAGGAAGAAGAUAUGACGGUACUUGAGGAAUAAGCCACGGCUAAUUCCGUGCCAGCAGCCGCGGUAAUACGGGAGUGGCAAGCGUUAUCCGGAAUUAUUGGGCGUAAAGCGUCCGCAGGCGGCCUUUCAAGUCUGCUGUUAAAGCGUGGAGCUUAACUCCAUCAUGGCAGUGGAAACUGAUAGGCUUGAGUAU
RNAcentral lists this ribosomal RNA (545 nucleotides) under uncultured Prochlorococcus sp. Its description in RNAcentral is "bacterial SSU rRNA". It matches the Rfam family "Bacterial small subunit ribosomal RNA", at positions 57 to 649 of the family's 1533-position model. Lineage: Bacteria; Bacillati; Cyanobacteriota; Cyanophyceae; Synechococcales; Prochlorococcaceae. The record is from RNAcentral.